AUCCAGUUGACGAGUCCUAAAUAGGACGAAACGUGCAUCCCGGAU
RNAcentral lists this non-coding RNA (45 nucleotides) under Schistosoma margrebowiei. The record is from RNAcentral. Lineage: Eukaryota; Metazoa; Platyhelminthes; Trematoda; Strigeidida; Schistosomatidae.